Molecule: small nucleolar RNA, 86 nt
Organism: Cryptotermes secundus
Lineage: Eukaryota; Metazoa; Arthropoda; Insecta; Blattodea; Kalotermitidae
Product: small nucleolar RNA U3
Exons: 1
Source: RefSeq, a predicted model, not a curated record
AGAAUUGUACUUCACUGGGUCAUUUCUGUGGUAUGUAUUCUCACACUUAGCUGUCAACAGUUGAGUAGAUUAUCUAUGGUAAUAGA